Molecule: ribosomal RNA, 252 nt
Filed under: uncultured bacterium
Lineage: Bacteria
Description: partial 16S ribosomal RNA
Rfam family: Bacterial small subunit ribosomal RNA
Source: RNAcentral
CACGGGGGAGCAAGCGUUGUUCGGAAUUACUGGGCGUAAAGGGCGUGUAGGCGGUCUGGUAAGUGGGAUGUGAAAUGCCCCGGCUCACCCGGGGACCUGCAUCCCAAACUACCUGGCUUGAGUAUGGGAGAGGAUGAGGGAAUUCCUGGUGUAGCGGUGAAAUGCGUAGAUAUCAGGAGGAACACCGGUGGCGAAAGCGCUCAUCUGGCCCAAUACUGACGCUGAGGCGCGAAAGCUAGGGGAGCAAACGGG